RNAcentral lists this non-coding RNA (779 nucleotides) under Layahima valida. Lineage: Eukaryota; Metazoa; Arthropoda; Insecta; Neuroptera; Myrmeleontidae. The record is from RNAcentral.
AAAAAGUUUGAUUUUAGCUUAAAUUUUAUUAGAACUUUGUUUUACAUGUAAGUUUUUGCGCGUAUAAGUAUUUAUUUUAGAUAAAUUUUACUUAAAUAAUAUUCGCAGUAUUUAGUAUUAAAUAUUAAGGUUAUUUAGAUUUGGUAAAAGUUUUAGUGCAGGAUAAAUUUGUGCCAGCAUCUGCGGUUACACAAAUUGUGCAAAUGAAAUUUUUUGGUUGGUAGUUAAUUGGUUUAUUAAAAUUAUUAUAUAAAUUUUUAGGUGAAAUUUAAUUUUAUGUUUUAUAUUUUUUUUAUUUAAAUGAAGCUACGAAAUUUUUUUAAAAAACUGGGAUUAGAUACCCUAUUAUUAAAAAUGUUAAUAUGAACCAGGGUAGUAGUAGUUAUGGUCUUGAAACCUAAAAAAUUUGGCGGUGUUUUAGUCUAUUUAGAGGAACCUGUUCCGUAAUCGAUAGUCCACGAUAAAUUUUACUAGGUUUUGUUUAGUUUGUAUACCGUCGUUAUCAGAAUAUUUUAUUAGAAUAUAAUUUUCUUAAAUUUUUAUAAAAAUUUAUUUCAGAUCAAGGUGCAGCUUAUAAUUUAGGGGAAAUGGGUUACAAUAAAUUAAUUUAAACGAAUAUAAAAUUGAAAUAUUUUAUUGAAGGUGGAUUUAAUAGUAAAUUAAGUUAUGUCACUUAAUUGAUUGUGGCUCUAAGACAUGCACACAUCGCCCGUCGCUCUUUUUUAAUUAAAGAUAAGUCGUAACAUAGUAGGUGUACUGGAAAGUGUGUCUAGAAUGCA